This is a long non-coding RNA of Branchiostoma belcheri (Belcher's lancelet), 311 nucleotides long. RefSeq lists it as uncharacterized. The record is from RefSeq and is a predicted model, not a curated record. NCBI's taxonomy places the organism in Eukaryota, Metazoa, Chordata, Leptocardii, Amphioxiformes, Branchiostomatidae. The transcript is spliced from 3 exons.
AUGGGACUAGAUCAGCUGGAUAAUCAGCUGGAUAGGUAUCGAUACUGUACAGCCCAAGAAGAAUGGAAGGCUUUGGUCUGACUGAUGGGGAAGGGAUGGAAAGACUAUGGUCUUAUUUGAGGCCAUUUUUCCGAGUUACCAAAGAGAUGACGCCUUCCCAUCGCCUAGACCUACUCACAGAUGCCACGCUGCACUAUGCCAGGAAGUCAACUGACAUAGAGUCAAGCAUAUGCAGUCGGUGGGAUAAAGCUGAGAAAGCUUUCACACAAGCGCAAGAAGAACUGUCGCAGAUCAUUUCCCAAGCACCUGGU